This 495-nucleotide ribosomal RNA is filed under the name uncultured bacterium. RNAcentral's name for it is "partial 16S ribosomal RNA". It matches the Rfam family "Bacterial small subunit ribosomal RNA", at positions 28 to 507 of the family's 1533-position model. The record is from RNAcentral.
GACGAACGCUGGCGGCGUGCCUAAUACAUGCAAGUAGAACGCUGAAGGAGGAGCUUGCUUCUCUGGAUGAGUUGCGAACGGGUGAGUAACGCGUAGGUAACCUGCCUGGUAGCGGGGGAUAACUAUUGGAAACGAUAGCUAAUACCGCAUAAUAGUAGAUGUUGCAUGACAUUUGCUUAAAAGGUGCAAUUGCAUCACUACCAGAUGGACCUGCGUUGUAUUAGCUAGUUGGUGAGGUAACGGCUCACCAAGGCAACGAUACAUAGCCGACCUGAGAGGGUGAUCGGCCACACUGGGACUGAGACACGGCCCAGACUCCUACGGGAGGCAGCAGUAGGGAAUCUUCGGCAAUGGACGGAAGUCUGACCGAGCAACGCCGCGUGAGUGAAGAAGGUUUUCGGAUCGUAAAGCUCUGUUGUAAGAGAAGAACGAGUGUGAGAGUGGAAAGUUCACACUGUGACGGUAUCUGACCAGAAAGGGACGGCUAACUACGUG